UGGCGGACGGGUGAGUAACGCGUAAGAACCUGCCCUUAGAGGGGGACAACAGCUGGAAACGGUUGCUAAUACCCCAUAAGCUGAGGAGCAAAAGGAGGAAUCCACCUAAGGAGGGGCUUGCGUCUGAUUAGCUAGUUGGUGAGGCAAAGGCUUACCAAGGCGACGAUCAGUAGCUGGUCUGAGAGGAUGAUCAGCCACACUGGGACUGAGACACGGCCCAG
This 221-nucleotide ribosomal RNA is filed under the name uncultured bacterium. Its description in RNAcentral is "partial 16S ribosomal RNA". It matches the Rfam family "Bacterial small subunit ribosomal RNA", at positions 96 to 334 of the family's 1533-position model. The record is from RNAcentral.